This 253-nucleotide ribosomal RNA is filed under the name uncultured bacterium. RNAcentral describes it as "partial 16S ribosomal RNA". It matches the Rfam family "Bacterial small subunit ribosomal RNA", at positions 524 to 776 of the family's 1533-position model. The record is from RNAcentral.
UACGUAGGGGGCAAGCGUUAUCCGGAUUUACUGGGUGUAAAGGGAGCGUAGGCGGCCUGGCAAGCCUGAUGUGAAAUACCGGGGCCCAACCCCGGGGCUGCAUUGGGAACUGCCAGGCUGGAGUGCCGGAGAGGCAGGCGGAAUUCCUAGUGUAGCGGUGAAAUGCGUAGAUAUUAGGUGGAACACCAGUGGCGAAGGCGGCCUGCUGGACGGUGACUGACGCUGAGGCUCGAAAGCGUGGGGAGCAAACAGG